AUGGGGGCAACCCUGACCGAGCAACGCCGCGUGAGUGAAGAAGGUUUUCGGAUCGUAAAGCUCUGUUGUAAGUCAAGAACGAGUGUGAGAGUGGAAAGUUCACACUGUGACGGUAGCUUACCAGAAAGGGACGGCUAACUACGUGCCAGCAGCCGCGGUAUACGUAGGUCCCGAGCGUUGUCCGGAUUUAUUGGGCGUAAAGCGAGCGCAGGCGGUUUGAUAAGUCUGAAGUUAAAGGCUGUGGCUCAACCAUAGUUCGCUUUGGAAACUGUCAAACUUGAGUGCAGAAGGGGAGAGUGGAAUUCCAUGUGUAGCGGUGAAAUGCGUAGAUAUAUGGAGGAACACCGGUGGCGAAAGCGGCUCUCUGGUCUGUAACUGACGCUGAGGCUCGAAAGCGUGGGGAGCGAACAGGAUUAGAUACCCUGGUAGUCCACGCCGUAAACGAUGAGUGCUAGGUGUUGGAUCCUUUCCGGGAUUCAGCGCCGCAGCUAACGCAUUAAGCACUCCGCCUGGGGAGUACGACCGCAAGGUUGAAACUCAAAGGAAUUGACGGGGGCCCGCACAAGCGGUGGAGCAUGUGGUUUAAUUCGAAGCAACGCGAAGAACCUUACCAGGUCUUGACAUCCCGAUGCUAUUUCUAGAGAUAGAAAGUUACUUCGGUACAUCGGUGACAGGUGGUGCAUGGUUGUCGUCA
RNAcentral lists this ribosomal RNA (694 nucleotides) under Streptococcus salivarius. Its description in RNAcentral is "bacterial SSU rRNA". It matches the Rfam family "Bacterial small subunit ribosomal RNA", at positions 371 to 1057 of the family's 1533-position model. Lineage: Bacteria; Bacillati; Bacillota; Bacilli; Lactobacillales; Streptococcaceae. The record is from RNAcentral.